Molecule: long non-coding RNA, 1073 nt
Filed under: Vigna radiata
Lineage: Eukaryota; Viridiplantae; Streptophyta; Magnoliopsida; Fabales; Fabaceae
Description: long non-coding RNA (VRAD_LNC016267)
Source: RNAcentral
UUUUAUAUUUUAGAUUAAGCUUUGCAUUUAAAAAGCAGCGCCUGCGUUUAGAUAUUUAACUAUUUCAUUGUUCACUUUAAUGUUUCAGGUUACUAUGUUACUUGUUCUGUUUGAUUGUAUUAAUUUAGUUGUCAUGUUAGCUUAAAUUAUUUCGGGUUGGUUGUUAAUAAAGUUACUUUGCUUCCCUGAGACUUUUGAACUUUAAUUACCAUUCUGCUCAAUAUUUAAUCUGUUGUCUGCCUGAGAUUAGGUAUACGCUUAGUUGCCUAAUCGGUGUCAAUUCUUCGCUUAGUUGCUUAGACUAAACGGUGGAUGACUGAUUAAAUUUGUGCAUUGCAUUCGCUUAGUUUGCAAUUCUGAAAACCGAAUUAGCCUUCGUUUAGUUGGGUGAUUCGUGUUGGAUUUGGAUUAGAGUAGUGUGUACUUGUCAUUAAUCUGUGAUUGGAAGCAUAGUAAUUGAGUUAAUGACCAACUGUUUUCAUUCUGUAUUUGAUUUCCAUUUUUACAUUUUUGUUUCUGUGCCUGUUUACAUUUGUGUUUACAUUUCUGUUUGCAUCUGUAUUUUAAUUUUAUUCAUCUGCAUUCACAAAACUUUCUCAAAACCCCCCCACUUUAUGUCUGACCUAAUUUUCGAACCACAUUUGGUCCUUGAGAGAAGACCUAGGAGUCACUUCCUAGUACUAUACUGCAUUCUUUAUGCACAUUAAAUUUGCAUGGGGUGCGACACCCAUCAAAUUUUGGCGCCGUUGUCGAGGACCAACGGUUCGGUUUUAGGUCUUUAUGUGUUCGUAUGUGUUGUGUUUUGUCUCGUGUUGUGAGUGUGAUGUUCCGUUUUGUGUGUUCGUUUUUGUAUGUGUGUUAUCAUGUGUAUUGCAUUUAGGUAACUUUAGUCGCAUAUUUUCAUUGCAUUCUUCUUUUUCCCCCUUUCUUCUACAUGUCUACCUAUUCUGGUUAUGUGCAUAUUGUUUCUUUUGCCUGUGCCUCUGGUUAUGGUUCUCCAGCUUAUUUCUAUGUUGACAACAAUAUGAUUCCUCCUCCAUCUCAUGAGAGUGCUCCUAGGGAGCCAUUUCCAC